Molecule: ribosomal RNA, 253 nt
Filed under: uncultured bacterium
Lineage: Bacteria
Description: partial 16S ribosomal RNA
Rfam family: Bacterial small subunit ribosomal RNA
Source: RNAcentral
UACAGAGGGCCCGAGCGUUGUUCGGAUUCAUUGGGCGUAAAGGGUGCGUAGGCGGCGGGGUAAGUCUGAUGUGAAAUCCUGGGGCUCAACCCUGGAACUGCAUUGGAUACUUCCUUGCUAGAGUACUGGAGAGGAAACUGGAAUUUACGGUGUAGCAGUGAAAUGCGUAGAGAUCGUAAGGAAGACCAGUGGCGAAGGCGAGUUUCUGGACAGUUACUGACGCUGAGGCACGAAGGCCAGGGGAGCAAACGGG